RNAcentral lists this ribosomal RNA (466 nucleotides) under Vreelandella stevensii. Its description in RNAcentral is "partial 16S ribosomal RNA". It matches the Rfam family "Bacterial small subunit ribosomal RNA", at positions 338 to 795 of the family's 1533-position model. The record is from RNAcentral. Lineage: Bacteria; Pseudomonadati; Pseudomonadota; Gammaproteobacteria; Oceanospirillales; Halomonadaceae.
CCUACGGGUGGCUGCAGUGGGGAAUAUUGGACAAUGGGCGAAAGCCUGAUCCAGCCAUGCCGCGUGUGUGAAGAAGGCCUUCGGGUUGUAAAGCACUUUCAGUGGGGAAGAAAGCCUUGGGGCUAAUACCCUCGAGGAAGGACAUCACCCACAGAAGAAGCACCGGCUAACUCCGUGCACAGCAGCCGCGGUAAUACGGAGGGUGCGAGCGUUAAUCGGAAUUACUGGGCGUAAAGCGCGCGUAGGCGGUCUGAUAAGCCGGUUGUGAAAGCCCCGGGCUCAACCUGGGAACGGCAUCCGGAACUGUCAGGCUAGAGUGCAGGAGAGGAAGGUAGAAUUCCCGGUGUAGCGGUGAAAUGCGUAGAGAUCGGGAGGAAUACCAGUGGCGAAGGCGGCCUUCUGGACUGACACUGACGCUGAGGUGCGAAAGCGUGGGUAGCAAACAGGAUUAGAUACCCUAGUAGUC